AUAAAAACAGGUAAAAAUCUUGAUGGAGGAUCCAGUCAUGUAGCAUCACUGACAUGAAGACAGCAUUUGUAUUAAGGAUCUUAAGACAUUGCUGAUAGAAAAAAAUUUAUUAUUCACAAGUCACAGUAUCUAAUUCUAAGAUAUAAAGU
Long non-coding RNA from Phyllostomus discolor (pale spear-nosed bat), 149 nucleotides. RefSeq lists it as uncharacterized. The record is from RefSeq and is a predicted model, not a curated record. NCBI's taxonomy places the organism in Eukaryota, Metazoa, Chordata, Mammalia, Chiroptera, Phyllostomidae. The transcript is spliced from 3 exons.